AGGAAAAAUGUCAUGAUCACAGAAGUUGUUUCUCCGGGGUGAGCCUUAUCCAUUGCACUUGGCUGUGCUGACCCCUGCAAUUUCCCCAACUUAUGGUGGCAUAAGUUGUU
Molecule: small nuclear RNA, 110 nt
Filed under: Mustela putorius furo (domestic ferret)
Lineage: Eukaryota; Metazoa; Chordata; Mammalia; Carnivora; Mustelidae
Description: U1 spliceosomal RNA (ENSMPUG00000021806.1)
Source: RNAcentral